RNAcentral lists this ribosomal RNA (484 nucleotides) under uncultured bacterium. Its description in RNAcentral is "bacterial SSU rRNA". It matches the Rfam family "Bacterial small subunit ribosomal RNA", at positions 9 to 519 of the family's 1533-position model. The record is from RNAcentral.
GAGUUUGAUCCUGGCUCAGGAUGAACGCUGGCGGCGUGCCUAAUACAUGCAAGUCGUGCGGUAAGGCCCCUUCGGGGUACGACGAGCGGCGGACGGCUGAGUAACGCGUAGGAACGUGCCCCAAACGUAGAGGGAGUAAGCUCCAGAAAAUAGGAGUCUAAUAACCGCAUAUGGUCUUCGGAUUAAAGACUUCGGCGCUUUGGGUAGGCGGCCUGCGUACGAUUAGAUUGUUGGUGAGGUAAAGGACUCGCCAAGUCGACGAUCGUUAGCUGGUCUGAGAGGAUGAUCAGCCAGACUGGAACUGAGACACGGUCCAGACUCCUACGGGAGGCAGCAGUAAGGAAUCUUCCACAAUGGGGGCAACCCUGAUGGAGCAACGCCGCGUGCAGGAUGAAGGCCCUCGGGUCGUAAACUGCUUUUAUGAGUGAAGAAUAUGACGGUAACUCAUGAAUAAGGGUCGGCUAACUCCGUGCCAGCAGCCGCC